This 600-nucleotide ribosomal RNA is filed under the name uncultured bacterium. Its description in RNAcentral is "bacterial SSU rRNA". It matches the Rfam family "Bacterial small subunit ribosomal RNA", at positions 46 to 663 of the family's 1533-position model. The record is from RNAcentral.
GCUUACACAUGCAAGUCGAACGCGAAAGCGCCUUUCGGGGCGCGAGUAGAGUGGCGCACGGGUGAGUAACACGUAGACAACCUGCCUUCCAGUCUGGGACAACCCUUUGAAAGAGGGGCUAAUACCGGAUAACACAGGCUCCCGCAUGGGAGCCCGUUGAAAGGCUUGCUGCUGGGAGAGGGGUCUGCGGGACAUUAGCUAGUUGGUGAGGUAACGGCUCACCAAGGCAGUGAUGUCUAGCGGGUCUGAGAGGAUGAUCCGCCACACUGGAACUGAGACACGGUCCAGACUCCUACGGGAGGCAGCAGUGUGGAAUUUUGCGCAAUGGGCGAAAGCCUGACGAAGCAACGCCGCGUGAGUGAAGAAGGCCUUUGGGUCGUAAAGCUCUUUUCUGAGGGAAGAGGAUGACGGUACUUCAGGAAUAAGCACCGGCUAACUCCGUGCCAGCAGCCGCGGUAACUACGGAGGGUGCAAGCGUUGUUCGGAUUCACUGGGCGUAAAGGGCGUGUAGGCGGGAAUGCAAGCUGGAGGUGAAAGCCCCGGGCUCAACUCGGGAAUUGCUUCCAGAACUGCAUUUCUAGAGAGAGUCAGAGGCAGGUG